Molecule: ribosomal RNA, 446 nt
Filed under: uncultured bacterium
Lineage: Bacteria
Description: partial 16S ribosomal RNA
Rfam family: Bacterial small subunit ribosomal RNA
Source: RNAcentral
CCUACGGGGGGCAGCAGUCGAGAAUCAUUCACAAUGGGGGAAACCCUGAUGGUGCGACGCCGCGUGGGGGAAUGAAGGUCUUCGGAUUGUAAACCCCUGUCAUGUGGGAGCAAAUUAAAAAGAUAGUACCACAAGAGGAAGAGACGGCUAACUCUGUGCCAGCAGCCGCGGUAAUACAGAGGUCUCAAGCGUUGUUCGGAAUCACUGGGCGUAAAGCGUGCGUAGGCUGUUUCGUAAGUCGUGUGUGAAAGGCGCGGACUCAACCCGCGGACGGCACAUGAUACUGCGAGACUAGAGUAAUGGAGGGGGAACCGGAAUUCUCGGUGUAGCAGUGAAAUGCGUAGAUAUCGAGAGGAACACUCGUGGCGAAGGCGGGUUCCUGGACAUUAACUGACGCUGAGGCACGAAGGCCAGGGGAGCGAAAGGGAUUAGAUACCCGGGUAGUC